CUGGCGGCGUGCCUAAUACAUGCAAGUCGAGCGAACAGACGAGGAGCUUGCUCCUCUGACGUUAGCGGCGGACGGGUGAGUAACACGUGGAUAACCUACCUAUAAGACUGGGAUAACUUCGGGAAACCGGAGCUAAUACCGGAUAAUAUAUUGAACCGCAUGGUUCAAUAGUGAAAGACGGUUUUGCUGUCACUUAUAGAUGGAUCCGCGCCGCAUUAGCUAGUUGGUAAGGUAACGGCUUACCAAGGCAACGAUGCGUAGCCGACCUGAGAGGGUGAUCGGCCACACUGGAACUGAGACACGGUCCAGACUCCUACGGGAGGCAGCAGUAGGGAAUCUUCCGCAAUGGGCGAAAGCCUGACGGAGCAACGCCGCGUGAGUGAUGAAGGUCUUCGGAUCGUAAAACUCUGUUAUUAGGGAAGAACAAAUGUGUAAGUAACUAUGCACGUCUUGACGGUAC
This 460-nucleotide ribosomal RNA is filed under the name Staphylococcus epidermidis. RNAcentral's name for it is "bacterial SSU rRNA". It matches the Rfam family "Bacterial small subunit ribosomal RNA", at positions 36 to 478 of the family's 1533-position model. The record is from RNAcentral. Lineage: Bacteria; Bacillati; Bacillota; Bacilli; Caryophanales; Staphylococcaceae.